This 918-nucleotide ribosomal RNA is filed under the name uncultured archaeon. RNAcentral describes it as "bacterial SSU rRNA". It matches the Rfam family "Archaeal small subunit ribosomal RNA", at positions 1 to 922 of the family's 1478-position model. The record is from RNAcentral.
UUUCCGGUUGAUCCUGCCGGAGGUUACUGCUAUCGGGGUUCGACUAAGCCAUGCGAGUCAAAUGUUCUUCGUGAACAUGGCGAACUGCUCAGUAACACGUGGAUAAUCUACCCUUAGGUCCGGGAUAACCCCGGGAAACUGGGGAUAAUACCGGAUAGAUCAUAGACGCUGGAAUGCCCUAUGGUCCAAGCUCCGGUGCCUAAGGAUGAGUCUGCGGUCUAUCAGGUUGUAGUGGGUGUAACGUACCUACUAGCCGACGACGGAUACGGGUUGUGAGAGCAAGAGCCCGGAGAUGGAUUCUGAGACACGAAUCCAGGCCCUACGGGGUGCAGCAGGCGCGAAAACUUUACAAUGCAGGAAACUGCGAUAAGGGAACCCCGAGUGCCAGCACCAAGUGUUGGCUGUCCAGAUGAUUAAAGAUCAUUUGUUAGCAAGGGCCGGGCAAGACCGGUGCCAGCCGCCGCGGUAACACCGGCGGCCCGAGUGGUAACCGUUUUUAUUGGGUCUAAAGGGUCCGUAGCCGGUCUGAUCAGUCUUUUGGGAAAUCUGGCAGCUUAACUGUCAGGCUUCUAAGAGAUACUAACAGACUUGGGACCGGGAGAGGUAAGGGGUACUCUAAGGGUAGGAGUGAAAUCUUGUAAUCCUUGGGGGACCAACUGUGGCGAAGGCGCCUUACCAGAACGGGUCCGACGGUGAGGGACGAGAGCUAGGGGAGCAAACCGGAUUAGAUACCCGGGUAGUCCUAGCUGUAAACGAUGCUCGCUAGGUGUCAGGCACGGUGCGUCCGUGUUUGGUGCCGCAGGGAAGCCGUGAAGCGAGCCACCUGGGAAGUACGGUCGCAAGGCUGAAACUUAAAGGAAUUGGCGGGGGAGCACUACAACGGGUGGAGCCUGCGGUUUAAUUGGAUUCAACGCCGGA